CAGCAGCCGCGGUAAUACCGGCGGCCCGAGUGGCGGUCACUAUUAUUGGGCUUAAAGCGUCCGUAGCCGGGUUGGGAAGUCCUCCGGGAAAUCUGGCCGCUUAACGGUCAGAAUGCCGGAGGAUACUCCCAGCCUAGGGAGCGGGAGAGGCCGAGGGGAUUCCCGGAGGAGGGGUGAAAUCCUAUAAUCCCGGGAGGACCACCUGGGGCGAAGGCGCUCGGCUGGAACGCGUCCGACGGUGAGGGACGAAGGCCAGGGGAGCAAACCGGAUUAGAUACCCGGGUAGUCCUGGCUGUAAACGAUGCGGACUUUGUGUCGGACAAGCUAUGAGCUUGUCCGGUGCCGGAGGGAAACCGUUAAGUCCGCCGCCUGGGGAGUACGGCCGCAAGGCUGAAACUUAAAGGAAUUGGCGGG
Molecule: ribosomal RNA, 414 nt
Filed under: uncultured microorganism
Description: bacterial SSU rRNA
Rfam family: Archaeal small subunit ribosomal RNA
Source: RNAcentral